Molecule: long non-coding RNA, 4619 nt
Organism: Ictalurus punctatus (channel catfish)
Lineage: Eukaryota; Metazoa; Chordata; Actinopteri; Siluriformes; Ictaluridae
Source: Ensembl
UCGAGAUCAUGAAUGAGGGUUAUUCCAUCUCAGAGUGGUCCAGUGCAGGUUGCUGGACUCGACGUAUCGGCAUCGCGAAAUCGCCAGUUUGGGUUAUACAGCCGUCUACGGAAAGCGCGGUACCUCGGCUCAGGAUAGAACGAGCGCUGAUCUUUUGAUUAUCUUUGGUUGAAAACAGCCGUAUAACCAAAACCCGUCGAGUGCUGUGACACAAAGACGGCCGUCGUCGUUGAACCGAAUAAAUUCCGAUAAACCUGGUGCCUAUGCAAUGCCGAUACGUAGAGGUGACCGCUCAAAAACAAUAAAAAAAAUCAUUCAAGCAACCGACUCUGCAGUUAUCGGACCACUUGGGAUGGGAAUGACCCACGGGGUAUGUGAGUUUCUCAUGUAAGAUCAAAGUCAGCAAGACGGUGACCGACACUUCGGCUCCGUACGAGCGCCGUCGAGAUUCUCGUCGGCGUGCCAUCUCGAGAACAAGCCGUCGAAUGUUCGUAGGAUUUAUAUGGAAUUAUCGCUUGAGUUUCGGAGGCGAUCCAAACAAGGUCACGGCAAGGUCAGAGGUCCGAAAGAGUUUUCCCGUCAACCGCUUGCUCGAAGUAUAUCUUAAGAGUACUUCUAGGCAUAUAAACGAGUAAGAAGAAGAACUAGACGCGGUGCUACGUGUUUUCAUUUUCUGGCUGUGGAACUGACUACGAAUAAAAUAAAUAAAUAAAUAAAUAAACCGCAACGAAUUGACGUGAAAUCUGCUCAUCCCAUGCACCCGGGCGACUGAGUUGUCCACAUACUUCUGAUUUUACACUUCAGGGAUUUUUCAUCGUUAGCGUUUUAUUCUAUUGGGUGACGAAACCAGAUCACUCGACCCAUUUGAAUGACCUCCUUUAUGAUGCCCACGUGAACCAGCAGUAAAUCCGGGAAGACGCUUGUGGGUUGUUUUUUUUUUUUUUUUUUUUUUUCUUUUCGUCUGACAUUUUGCACCACGGGUGGGUUGAUGCCAGCCCUCUGAAUCGAUCACACACGUCACACGCGGCGCCAGUCACUCGGAACCCCGAUUUCAGAUGGUGACUUUCUUGGUAACUCUAUUGACCAGUUGAAAAAAAAAAAAAAACCCCUAGCAUUUGGGGUUAGUAUGUGAAGGUAGUAAUUCCUACUGUUUAUGGGGUUAAUCAUAAACGUGUGAAGUCGGCUUCGUGCGUCUGACCUGAAUAACGUAUGCAACUCGCGUACGUUUAGCAAGCUACCGUAAGGCGCGUCGGCGCUUCAGAGCGUGUUUGUUAGCGGACGCUGUCGUGAGUUUUGAGCUUUCACUUCAGAAGGCGAACUGACGUCGGGUGGGUUCUCACAGUGGAAAUGUGCUUGCAGAUCGCAGUCACGUACGUUGUUGCAUAACGGCGCCAUUGGCGUUUCUGGAACUUCUGCUUCUGGCUGACGUCCAAGGUGUAAAUCCUGCUUCCUUGUGCUAACGGUUCAGCGACGAUCCAGGUACUACAAACAUUCACGCUGGCGUAAAUGACCAUUUUGAUAACUCCGAACGUUUUUGUUUUGAAUUUGUCCGGCGGUCCAUUUCCAACACUCCUGUUCUAACACCAGUACUGACCUGCGUCCAAGUUCAACAGCGUGUCCCGAUCCCUUAAAGCAGACUUUUUCGUCAGUACGGAUUUAUCUCAUGACCAGUAUUUAAAAGUGUACAAUAAUUUUUAUUUCAGAACCUUCCACCAACAGAAUGCAUUGCACUGACGUGAUUUUACGGAUUUUUUUAAAUUAUUAUUAUUAUUGAGGUUAAUAUAUAUUAAUAAAUAUUCGAUUUGAUCGUCACGAGUAAACCCGGAGUCCAUAAAGUUCUGAAUCGAGCUUUAAUUCUAGCCAAGUAGAGAAGCAGUACGUCAAAGCGGCGCAGUCAUUAACAGUCGAUGUCGUGUAAACCCCUUCUCCAGCGUACCCUUGUAAAAACUUUAUGGCGCUGUUCAGACGUCUCUGGGAGAUUUUCAUGUAGAAUCUCGACUCUGUGCCACUUUCCACUGAGCUAAAGUGAGAGUUUAACGCUGAAAACGGUCACGGCCGAACGAGGAGGGGAAUCCACGUUGAUCGAGAGCCGUCUCAAGAUCUGAGCAACGAACACUCCCACCUAAAGAGAGAAACCUUGUAGAGAAAUGACAGCACUUACUGACUCAUCUGCCCAUGGACUUUUUAAGCUGUGGAGAGAAAGCAGAGUGGGAGGGCUUUGUGAUUUCCUGGCACGUAGAACGAGUAUAUAUUCAGCUUAAAGUAACGUAUACCAAAUCCUCCUCUCAGUCGGGGGGGGGGCUUUCUGUUUAUGAAUGGCAACCCACUGGUUCUGUGGGUUUUCAGGGGUGUGUAUGUGUGUGAGAGAGAGAGACAGACUGGUGUAAUGGCUCUCAUUUAGUUGACUCGUUCUAGUAUGUGCAUCGUGUGGUUUUCAUGCCUCUGACAUUUAAUCCCACUGACGCAGUCUGGUGGAAAGCCCUGAGCUUCAACCACUGCCGGGGCUCUUUACAUUCACCGUGACAUGAAUCUGCUCCGACCAGAAACAAUCAAAACUGCCAUAGCACAAAACAUUAACGGCUGUAAUAUCAUGAUGUCGUGGGAUCAGCAGACAAUUUGAUAGAACAGCACUACUCUCGUAUUCUAUUCCUCCGUCAGUAUCAGUGAUGAACACCGUUGCACUCAGAAUGAUUCCACCCCCAUUGCAAAUCAGGUUUAUCGUCUAAACGUACAGACUUUCAGCUGUUCGCCAUGAACCGAUCGAACAGAAGCAAUCGAAAUAGUUCGACACGGCACGGCGAACGCUUCAAGCGGUCCCCCCCCCCCCCCCCCGAAAAUUCAACUGAAAAUGCAACUCAUAAUGAUUUCUCCAGUCUCAGAAUUAUUCACCCUGACGAGAUAGAGUGGACAGUCAGACGACGUCACGUGACCUCUCUACGAUUCGUCAGACGAAAGUCUGGGUACCAGCCCCCGUGCGAACCCAGUCGACAUCGUAGCAGGAGGAAGCGUUGGCACCAUUUAGCUGCACGAUAUCGCCGUACCCACACCAAUGGUUUGAGACCCCGUUACUGCUCGGUGCACCAAAAAAGGAUCCGAAUCCCUGAAUUUACACCAGUAACUGUUGCUACGGUUACACCUGUCGUCUACGCUCCUCCGGCGUUUUCCGACCCGUGAAAACGGGGACUUCUGGAAACGCCGAAGAAGUACACCGGACUCGGCGUAAACAGACCGAAACGGAGACUUUUAUAAACGACGGCGUGGCUCCGCCCACACGAUUGGGUCUUCCACGUCUCAUCGCGUAUCCUUUUGGUCUGUUAAACGGUACGUGUCUGUCGGUCGUAUUAGUUAACGAGCUAGGUAAUGCUCCGUCGAGGCAUUUUUAUGCGACAUCCUAUUUAUUUAGAUAAGGAGUGCGGUCUUUCCUGUUGCCCAAAGUGGUAAACUAAUCCUCGACGCUAAAUAAAUAACAGCGUAAUUAACGGGAGUGCCGCAGUGAAGAAGCAGCAACACGUGCAGGAAGGCGGCGCGCUUUUGAAAAUGAAAUAAAUUAAUAAAUAAAUACUCGGCCUUGAGAUAUUUGUGAAACAUUAACCAGAUAACCCUCAUCAACAAGUUGUUCCGUUCGUUCCGUCGAAUGAAGGCGGACCCCUCGAGCAAGGCCGUUAGCAUCUUAGCACGUAGCUAGCGUAUGCGUGUGCUUUUCCUGCUACGCCAGACGUUUCUGCCAAAUGAAUAAGUAUAAAAUGUUCAACCGGUAAUAAAUCAACGAGCCCAGCUCGGCUGCUCGUCGUGGCGUUCCGAGUCCCGAAGGUGUACGGAUAAGACGACGGCGGUUUUGUUUUUGUGUUCCCACUCUCUGUUUACGAUCAACUCUUUACAAGCGCUGUAAAAGUGAUCACUGACCAGGUUUAGGGUGGAAGCUCGGCCCACGCAGAUCGUACUGUUAAACAGACUGACUCAUAGCAAAUCUCGAAGCUGACGCUUUUUUUUUUUUUUUUUUUUUAUAAAAUGUGUUUUAGAGCAUGCCCUCAAUGAUUUGAAGCGGUGUGUAGGAUUUGUUUCGGUUUUGGAAUUAGUGGAUGUGACCGUUUUGAGUCACGCAUAUUAAUGAACCCCAGUUCUGAUUGUCAGCCAAUCAUUUCCCAAAAUCAGAUUCAUGAAUUUUUUUUUUUUUUUUUUUUUUUUUUUAAACACACGUGUUUUAUUUGUUUUUCAAUUCACACAUUUGAUUUGUAAAUGCUACGCUUUAAGGCAGCGGGGGGGGGGUCGGACUCAUUUUCACCGAGAGCCACAUCAGCAUAAUGGCUGCCCUCGAUGGGCCACGUUAACAUUAUGAAUGUAACAAGAUGCGACGUGAUUGAAAAUAAAUGAACCGACACCUUUAUUAUAUUGUUAAAUAACUGUUCCUGUAUUUAUGUACGUUCUCAACUCACGCACGUGACAUAUGCAUUUGCGCAGAUGUAAAUAAAUGAAGCAAAAUAAAUAAAUAAAUGAGAGAAAUGUUCGGUCUGAAGCCCACACUACUUGAAUCAGUGUUCAAACUAUUAAAGCAAAUAAAGGGAAAUAUUUUAAACAAGUUGUGAUUUUAACCCUCGACUUCAUCCGGAUCUUUUUUUCAG